This 776-nucleotide ribosomal RNA is filed under the name uncultured bacterium. RNAcentral describes it as "bacterial SSU rRNA". It matches the Rfam family "Bacterial small subunit ribosomal RNA", at positions 609 to 1386 of the family's 1533-position model. The record is from RNAcentral.
UCAACCAANGUAUGCUUUGGAAACUGUUAGACUUGAGUGCAGAAGGGGAGAGUGGAAUUCCAUGNGUAGCGGUGAAAUGCGUAGAUAUAUGGAGGAACACCGGUGGCGAAAGCGGCUCUCUGNUCUGUCACUGACGCUGAGGCUCGAAAGCGUGGGUAGCGAACAGGAUUAGAUACCNUGGUAGUCCACGCCGUAAACGCUGAGUGCUAGGUGUUAGGUCCUUUCCGGGACUUAGUGCCGACGCUAACGCAUUAAGCACUCCGCCUGGGGAGUACGACCGCAAGGUUGAAACUCAAAGGAAUUGACGGGGGCCCGCACAAGCGGUGGAGCAUGUGGUUUAAUUCGAAGCAACGCGAAGAACCUUACCAGGUCUUGACAUCCCGAUGCCCGCUCUAGAGAUAGAGUUUUUCUUCGGAACAUCGGAGACAGGUGGUGCAUGGUUGUCGUCAGCUCGUGUCGUGAGAUGUUGGGUUAAGUCCCGCAACGAGCGCAACCCUUAUUGUUAGUUGCCAUCAUUAAGUUGGGCACUCUAGCGAGACUGCCGGUAAUAAACCGGAGGAAGGUGGGGAUGACGUCAAAUCAUCAUGCCCCUUAUGACCUGGGCUACACACGUGCUACAAUGGUUGGUACAACGAGUCGCAAGCCGGUGACGGCAAGCUAAUCUCUGAAAGCCAAUCUCAGUUCGGAUUGUAGGCUGCAACUCGCCUACAUGAAGUCGGAAUCGCUAGUAAUCGCGGAUCAGCACGCCGCGGUGAAUACGUUCCCGGGCCUUGUAC